AGUGGACGCUGGCGGUAGGCCUAACACAUGCAAGUCGAACGGCAGCACAGUAAGAGCUUGCUCUUACGGGUGGCGAGUGGCGGACGGGUGAGGAAUACAUCGGAAUCUACUUUUUCGUGGGGGAUAACGUAGGGAAACUUACGCUAAUACCGCAUACGACCUACGGGUGAAAGCAGGGGAUCUUCGGACCUUGCGCGAUUGAAUGAGCCGAUGUCGGAUUAGCUAGUUGGCGGGGUAAAGGCCCACCAAGGCGACGAUCCGUAGCUGGUCUGAGAGGAUGAUCAGCCACACUGGAACUGAGACACGGUCCAGACUCCUACGGGAGGCAGCAGUGGGGAAUAUUGGACAAUGGGCGCAAGCCUGAUCCAGCCAUACCGCGUGGGUGAAGAAGGCCUUCGGGUUGUAAAGCCCUUUUGUUGGGAAAGAAAAGCAGCAGGUUAAUACCCCGCUGUUCUGACGGUACCCAACGAAUAAGCACCGGCUAACUUCGUG
Molecule: ribosomal RNA, 492 nt
Filed under: uncultured bacterium
Lineage: Bacteria
Description: partial 16S ribosomal RNA
Rfam family: Bacterial small subunit ribosomal RNA
Source: RNAcentral